AGAGUUUGAUCAUGGCUCAGAAUGAACGUUGGCGGCGUGGAUUAGGCAUGCAAGUCGCACGAGACACCAAUUAGCUUGCUAAGAGGUAGACAGUGGCGAAAGGGAGAGUAACGCGUGGUUACUUGCCCUCGAGACCGGGAUAGUGUCGGGAAACUGGCAGUAAUACCGGAUAACAUCUUCGGAUCAAAUGGUGUGAUUCCGCUCGAGGAUAGGACCGCGUACUAUUAGCUUGUUGGUGAGGUAACGGCUCACCAAGGCUGCGAUGGUUACCGGGUGUGAGAGCAUGGCCCGGCUCACUGGGACUGAGACACUGCCCAGACACCUACGGGUGGCUGCAGUCGAGAAUCUUCGGCAAUGGACGAAAGUCUGACCGAGCGACGCCGCGUGCGGGAUGAAGGCCCUCGGGUUGUAAACCGCUGUCAGUAGUUAGGAAAUCCAUGAGGGUUAUCUCUCAUGGUUGACCGAUCUUCAGAGGAAGGACGGGCUAAGUUCGUGCCAGCAGCCGCGGUAAGACGAACCGUCCAAACGUUAUUCGGUAUCACUGGGCUUAAAGCGUGCGUAGGCGGCUUGGUAGGUGAGAUGUGAAAGCCCACGGCUCAACCGUGGAAUUGCGUUUCAAACCCCCAAGCUCGAGGAAGAUAGGGGUGAUGGGAACUUAUGGUGGAGCGGUGAAAUGCGUUGAUAUCAUAGGGAACACCGGUGGCGAAAGCGCAUCACUGGAUCUUUUCUGACGCUGAGGCACGAAAGCUAGGGUAGCGAACGGGAUUAGAUACCCCGGUAGUCCUAGCCGUAAACGAUGAACACUG
Molecule: ribosomal RNA, 806 nt
Filed under: uncultured marine microorganism
Description: bacterial SSU rRNA
Rfam family: Bacterial small subunit ribosomal RNA
Source: RNAcentral